ACGGGUGAGUAACACGUGGGUGAUCUGCCCAGCACUUUGGGAUAAGCCUGGGAAACUGGGUCUAAUACCGAAUAUGACCACGCUCUUCAUGGGGUGUGGUGGAAAGCUUUUGCGGUGUGGGAUGGGCCCGCGGCCUAUCAGCUUGUUGGUGGGGUAAUGGCAUACCAAGGUGACCACAGGUAACCAGCCUGAGAGGGUGACCGGACACACUGGGACUGAGAUACCGCCCAGACUCCUACGGGAGGUUUCAGUGGGGAAUAUUGCCCUGUGGGAGCAAGCCUGAUGCAACGACGCCGCGCAAGGGAUGACGGCCUUCUUUUUGUAAACCUCUUUCACCGAGGACGAAUCGCAAAUGACCGUCCCUGGAGAAUAAGCACCCGCCAACUACGUGCCAGCAGCCGCGGUAAUACUUAGGGUGCAAGCGUUGUCCGGAAUUACUGGGCGUAUUUAGCUCGUAGGUGGUUUGUCCCGUUGUUCAUGAAAACUCACAGCUUAACUGUGGCCGUGCUGGCGAUACGGGCGGACUAAAGUACUGUCCGGUAGACUGGAAUUCCGCGUGUAGCUCUGAAAUGCCCACA
RNAcentral lists this ribosomal RNA (578 nucleotides) under uncultured bacterium. Its description in RNAcentral is "bacterial SSU rRNA". It matches the Rfam family "Bacterial small subunit ribosomal RNA", at positions 102 to 694 of the family's 1533-position model. The record is from RNAcentral.